GCCGCUGUGGCUCAGCCUGGUAGAGCGAUUCCUUGGUAAGGAAUAGGUCGCGGGUUCAAAUCCCGCCAGCGGCU
RNAcentral lists this transfer RNA (74 nucleotides) under Thermoplasmata archaeon. Its description in RNAcentral is "tRNA-Thr". It matches the Rfam family "tRNA". From Rfam's summary of the family: Transfer RNA (tRNA) molecules are approximately 80 nucleotides in length. The record is from RNAcentral. RNAcentral also lists the same sequence under 2 other names. Lineage: Archaea; Methanobacteriati; Thermoplasmatota; Thermoplasmata.